Molecule: ribosomal RNA, 253 nt
Filed under: uncultured bacterium
Lineage: Bacteria
Description: partial 16S ribosomal RNA
Rfam family: Bacterial small subunit ribosomal RNA
Source: RNAcentral
UACGGAGGGUGCGAGCGUUGUCCGGAAUCACUGGGCGUAAAGGGCGCGUAGGUGGCUCGGCAAGCGUGCGGUGAAAGUUCGAGGCUCAACCUCGAAUCGGCCGUGCGAACUGCUGGGCUGGAGCACUGUAGAGGCAGAUGGAAUUCCGGGUGUAGCGGUGGAAUGCGUAGAGAUCCGGAAGAACACCGGUGGCGAAGGCGGUCUGCUGGGCAGUUGCUGACACUGAGGCGCGACAGCGUGGGGAGCAAACAGG